UACGGAGGGUGCAAGCGUUGUUCGGAUUGACUGGGCGUAAAGCGCACGUAGGUGGGUUUGUAAGUCGGUUGUGAAAGCCCCGAGCUUAACUUGGGAAUUGCAACCGAAACUACAAGUCUUGAAUAUUCGAGGGGUUGGCGGAAUUCCAGGUGUAGGAGUGAAAUCCGUAGAUAUCUGGAGGAACAUCAGAGGCGAAGGCG
RNAcentral lists this ribosomal RNA (200 nucleotides) under uncultured bacterium. RNAcentral describes it as "partial 16S ribosomal RNA". It matches the Rfam family "Bacterial small subunit ribosomal RNA", at positions 524 to 723 of the family's 1533-position model. The record is from RNAcentral.